AUGCUUGACAGUUUGUGAGUAACAUGAUGGAACAAAAAUAGAGGACAAAGUGGAGGAAUAACUAUACCAAUUAAGAGGAUAAGAUACUUUAGUAAAUUGUCGAAGUAUAGACUCUGGAGGGACAACCUUAAAGGAAAUAGUAGAGACAGGUUCAGGAGUAGUCUUAGAUGGCUGAACAGUCUCCCGAAGGAGCAAAGUCUGUUGACAUCGUUGAUAGACACAUUCAGGUUUGAAGAGCCCAAAAGAUUGUGAGUCCUCAAUGGUAGGAAGAAAAAUACUAACAAGGGAUGAUUCCACAUAGUUAGAAAUGAAAUAUUGAUUCUAACAGAAGAAAAUAACAUUCCUAAAGAUACAAAAUUUGUUAGAACUGAUAUCGUAACAAACAAAAUCUUUUUGGAGGACAAGAUACAAUGUCCCAAGUGUGAUUCUUUUGGAGAGCUUGGAGUUCCUCUUUCAUUACUUUCUGCCAACACUCAUGCUUGACAGUUUGUGAGUAACAUGAUGGAACAAAAAUAGAGGACAAAGUGGAGGAAUAACUAUACCAAUUAAGAGGAUAAGAUACUUUAGUAAAUUGUCGAAGUAUAGACUCUGGAGGGACAACCUUAAAGGAAAUAGUAGAGACAGGUUCAGGAGUAGUCUUAGAUGGCUGAACAGUCUCCCGAAGGAGCAAAGUCUGUUGACAUCGUUGAUAGACACAUUCAGGUUUGAAGAGCCCAAAAGAUUGUGAGUCCUCAAUGGUAGGAAGAAAAAUACUAACAAGGGAUGAUUCCACAUAGUUAGAAAUGAAAUAUUGAUUCUAACAGAAGAAAAUAACAUUCCUAAAGAUACAAAAUUUGUUAGAACUGAGAUCGUAACAAACAAAAUCUUUUUGGAGGACAAGAUACAAUGUCCCAAGUGUGAUUCUUUUGGAGAGCUUGGAGUUCCUCUUUCAUUACUUUCUGCCAACACUCAUGCUUGACAGUUUGUGAGUAACAUGAUGGAACAAAAAUAGAGGACAAAGUGGAGGAAUAACUAUACCAAUUAAGAGGAUAAGAUACUUUAGUAAAUUGUCGAAGUAUAGACUCUGGAGGGACAACCUUAAAGGAAAUAGUAGAGACAGGUUCAGGAGUAGUCUUAGAUGGCAGAACAGUCUCCCGAAGGAGCAAAGUCUGUUGACAUCGUUGAUAGACACAUUCAGGUUUGAAGAGCCCAAAAGAUUGUGAGUCCUCAAUGGUAGGAAGAAAAAUACUAACAAGGGAUGAUUCCACAUAGUUAGAAAUGAAAUAUUGAUUCUAACAGAAGAAAAUAACAUUCCUAAAGAUACAAAAUUUGUUAGAAC
This 1318-nucleotide long non-coding RNA is filed under the name Carica papaya (papaya). Its description in RNAcentral is "long non-coding RNA (CPAP_LNC013589)". Lineage: Eukaryota; Viridiplantae; Streptophyta; Magnoliopsida; Brassicales; Caricaceae. The record is from RNAcentral.